ACCAAACAGCGACGGAAGAGGUGGUACCCGAGCCUCGACGUGGCAACCUGUAAACAGCAGAGGCAGGGUCAGCGAGCGGCCGAGAUGCUGCAAGCAGGCUCGGAGGGGCGAAGCCGCAUGCUGACGAGCGGUCUGAGAAG
This is a long non-coding RNA of Gymnogyps californianus (California condor), 140 nucleotides long. RefSeq lists it as uncharacterized. The transcript has 3 exons. Lineage: Eukaryota; Metazoa; Chordata; Aves; Accipitriformes; Cathartidae. The record is from RefSeq and is a predicted model, not a curated record.